RNAcentral lists this ribosomal RNA (439 nucleotides) under uncultured bacterium. RNAcentral describes it as "bacterial SSU rRNA". It matches the Rfam family "Bacterial small subunit ribosomal RNA", at positions 954 to 1392 of the family's 1533-position model. The record is from RNAcentral.
GCUAAACGCGAAGAACCUUACCUGGGUUUGACAUGUAGAGAAAAGCCAUAGAGAUAUGGUGUCCUCGGGUUCGUACACAGGUGGUGCAUGGUUGUCGUCAGCUCGUGUCGUGAGAUGUUGGGUUAAGUCCCGCAACGAGCGCAACCCUUCGUCCUAUGUUGCCAGCACGUCAUGGUGGGGACGUCGUAGGAGACUGCCGGGGUCAACUCGGAGGAAGGUGGGGACGGACGUCAAAUCAUCAUGCCCCUUAUAUCCAGGGCUGCAAACAUGCUACAAUGGCCGGUACAAAGGGCUGCGAAACCGCGAGGUGGAGCGAAUCCCAUAAAGCCGGUCUCAGUUCGGAUUGGAGUCUGCAACUCGACUCCAUGAAGCUGGAGUUGCUAGUAAUCCCGGAUCAGCAACGCCGGGGUGAAUACGUUCCCGGGUCUUGUACACACCG